AUUCAGCUGAUGAGUCCCAAAUAGGACUGAACGCGCGUCAUGGAU
Schistosoma mansoni is the source of this 45-nucleotide non-coding RNA. The record is from Rfam. NCBI's taxonomy places the organism in Eukaryota, Metazoa, Platyhelminthes, Trematoda, Strigeidida, Schistosomatidae.